RNAcentral lists this ribosomal RNA (1317 nucleotides) under human metagenome. RNAcentral's name for it is "bacterial LSU rRNA". It matches the Rfam family "Bacterial large subunit ribosomal RNA", at positions 1064 to 2405 of the family's 2925-position model. The record is from RNAcentral.
UGGAAAAGGAUGUGGGAUUUCGAAGACAGCUAGGAUGUUGGCUUAGAAGCAGCCACACAUUCAAAGAGUGCGUAAUAGCUCACUAGUCGAGAGGUCUUGCGCCGAAAAUGUCCGGGGCUAAAACACAACACCGAAGCUUAGGAAUGUAGCAAUACAUUGGUAGAGGAGCAUUUUUAUAGGCGUAGAAGCUGUACCGAUAAGGAGCAGUGGAGUAAUAAAAAGAGAGAAUGCCGGAAUGAGUAGCGAGAUGAAGGUGAGAAUCCUUCAGGCCGAAUAUCUAAGGUUUCCAGAGUAAAGCUGAUCUGCUCUGGGUAAGUCGGGACCUAAGGCAAGGUCGAAAGACGUAGUCGAUGGACAACAGGUUUAGAUUCCUGUACCGCUUAUUAUCAGAAAUGUGGGGACACAGAGACGUAUCCAAACCCAGGAAUGCAAAGACUGGGGCAAGCCAAGUACUGGUAUGGCAGGAAAAUCCGCCAUGCAACAGGAAUAGGUGAUGCGGACCGAAAUCAAGUAGGGAAGUUGGAGAAGGAGCUGUCAAGAAAAGCCGCUAUUGUAUAAUAAGUGCCCGUACCGUAAACCGACACAGGUGGAUGAGGAGAGAAUCCUAAGGCCGGCGGGAGAAGCAUUGUUAAGGAACUCGGCAAAAUGACCCCGUAACUUCGGGAGAAGGGGUGCCAUCCUCCGGGAUGGCCACAGAAAAUAGGCUCAAGCAACUGUUUAGCAAAAACACAGGUCUAUGCGAAACCGAAAGGUGAGGUAUAUGGGCUGACGCCUGCCCGGUGCUGGAAGGUUAAGAGGAGAAGUCAGGCAACGAAGCUUUGAAUUGAAGCCCCAGUAAACGGCGGCCGUAACUAUAACGGUCCUAAGGUAGCGAAAUUCCUUGUCGGGUAAGUUCCGACCCGCACGAAAGGCGUAAUGAUUUGAGCGCUGUCUCAACAAUGCACCCGGUGAAAUUGAAGUACCAGUGAAGAUGCUGGUUACCUGCGCCAGGACGGAAAGACCCCAUGGAGCUUUACUCUAGUUUGAUACUGGGAUUCGAUUAUACCUGUACAGGAUAGGUGGGAGGCGAAGAAGCAAGGACGCCAGUCUUUGCAGAGCCGCUGUUGGGAUACCACCCUUGUAUGAUUGGAUUUCUAACCUGCACCCGUGAUCCGGGUGGGGGACACUGUCAGAUGGGGAGUUUGACUGGGGCGGUCGCCUCCGAAAGGGUAUCGGAGGCGCUCAAAGGUUCCCUCAGAAUGGUCGGAAACCAUUCAAAGAGUGCAAAGGCAGAAGGGAGCUUGACUGCGACACCGACGGGUGGAGCAGGUACGAAAG